UCGUAACAAGGUAGCCAAGGGCGAAUUCUGCAGAUAUCCAUCACACUGGCGGCCGCUCGAGCAUGCAUCUAGAGGGCCCAAUUCGCCCUAUAGUGAGUCGUAUUACAAUUCACUGGCCGUCGUUUUACAACGUCGUGACUGGGAAAACCCUGGCGUUACCCAACUUAAUCGCCUUGCAGCACAUCCCCCUUUCGCCAGCUGGCGUAAUAGCGAAGAGGCCCGCACCGAUCGCCCUUCCCAACAGUUGCGCAGCCUGAAUGGCGAAUGGACGCGCCCUGUAGCGGCGCAUUAAGCGCGGCGGGUGUGGUGGUUACGCGCAGCGUGACCGCUACACUUGCCAGCGCCCUAGCGCCCGCUCCUUUCGCUUUCUUCCCUUCCUUU
This 381-nucleotide ribosomal RNA is filed under the name Pseudomonas sp. BAKZL1118. RNAcentral describes it as "partial 16S ribosomal RNA". The record is from RNAcentral. Lineage: Bacteria; Pseudomonadati; Pseudomonadota; Gammaproteobacteria; Pseudomonadales; Pseudomonadaceae.